Pecten maximus is the source of this 1377-nucleotide long non-coding RNA. RefSeq lists it as uncharacterized. NCBI's taxonomy places the organism in Eukaryota, Metazoa, Mollusca, Bivalvia, Pectinida, Pectinidae. The record is from RefSeq and is a predicted model, not a curated record. The transcript is spliced from 4 exons.
GAAAGCUCCAGGGACGAUCUCUUUAUCGUCAUGAGUUCUCCGAAACUUAUCUUUCAUAUGUAAACAAAAACUCCGUCAAGAGAGGGGCCUAGUGUGUCACCGUGGGGUUGAUAACUUCCUGUUGGGAAAGUAAGAUAAGAUAACCUGGACUCUGAUUGGAGAAAGAUCGUUUUAUGGAAGGAUUAAAUAGGCACAAUCACGCGAACGCCAUAACGUUUCCAUUUGUUACUGACUGCGUUGGUUUUACAAGAGAAUACGGAGGCGAAAACCUAUCAUCGAGAUGAAGCGGAAUAGCAUACGGAUGCUUUACAUUCUCCUUGUAUUGAUGCUCGUAGUUGUGACCGACGUUGCUGGUCGUCGGUAUCGAGUCAGAGUAGGUUCCCGCUACUCCGGCAGCAGUUCUGGAGCGGAGUCAUCAGGCAGCUUAACUAUUGGAAAACUCUUGGGGAUUGUCAGCGGAGUCAUCGUGAUGGGGUUUUGUAUUCGUUGCUUGCCACUUGGGGUGCAAACACGGCACUUGUAAACAAGAUAUUAUGCGCAUAACGUUACUGAUACGACGUUGCCAGACUAGAUGUGGGUUUGUGAUUGAUUUUCAAAAUCAGAACACAGAUUGUUUUUCUCUUGAUUUGAUAUGGUGUUCUAGCCUUAAUUCAACGACUACGAAAGCAGGCACUAUUUCUUAAAAUUUCUUUCUGUUUGUUUGAAAUUCAUGAAAUAGUAAUAACACAAAAGGUGAUACAUGUACAAACGAAUGUGAUUCACAAUAAAAGCGUGUUGAUUUAGUACUACCUAUCGUAUAGAUCACUGCUUCAUUUAUGCUUGGAAAACAUCGUGUAAUUGAGAAAAAUAUGUUUAUUAUUUCCAAAGUUAAAUGUUUGUUUAAAUUUAUGAUAUCUUACCAUGACUAAAUUGACUGUCAUAAUACGUCACAAUACCACAGUGACGUCAUACAUCUGUCAGUGGUUGCAUGUUGAGCUGGCGACUAAUCUAACAGAUGAAGUGUUUCCGGAUUUGAAUCUCCCAACCCCGCUAAUUCAUAUUCACGAUUUGAAAUCAUAUUUGACAUUUUUCUGUGUUUGCGCUAAAAUUUGACUACUCUAUAAGUAGGUUUACAGUAGCUUGUCGUAUUUAAAGUAUAAACUGGCAUUACAUGUACGUUGCAAUUUGACUUAAAAGAAGACAAAUACUCUUAAUGAGUUUUCAAAUUACGUCUCGUUAAAUCUCUCUAAGGUGAUACACAAACAAAUGUAACACAUAUCUGGACAAGUUUGUAACAUUAUAUACGUGAUUCGUAAUGUUACACAUAUCAUCUGUAUAUUGUCACUUUGAAUAUUAGCAAAUCUCUGAAUCUAUGAAUAAAUGAGUAUUUUUCCUGCA